GAGGAAAAAUCGCAAAGCCAAAAGCUUCAUCGAUUAGAAAUUUUGAGGUAGGAAAACUUUUUACAUAUGGGUGUUUAGGCAGUCGAAUAGUGAGGGAUCUUUACCCUCCUAUAUUCUUCUUCCCCUUCCGUGUUUGUGAUUGUUGUGUUUGUGGUCAAAAAUGGUUUGAGUAAAAUCCUUUGAGGCAUCGAAAGAUAUGUUUCUCUUAUUCUUUAUCAAUAUGUUAUAAAAUUGUAUAGUUAUUGUUAUUUGAAUCUAUGUUGAUGAAUCGUUGAAAAAUCAUAAAAUUCAAAUCCCCUCAGGUUUCGUUAUGUAUCAUGCGUAUUUUAAGCCUCGUGAACUAUGUUUUAUUGAAGUUUGUAUAUAAUGUAUUUGAGAUUACACUAUGUUGAUGAAUCGUUGAAAAAUCAUAAAAUUCAAAUCCCCUCAGGUUUCGUUAUGUAUCAUGCGUAUUUUAAGCCUCGUGAACUAUGUUUUAUUGAAGUUUGUAUAUAAUGUAUUUGAGAUUACGUGGUUGAGAAUUGAGAUUUAGAGGAUGUUAUGUUAUUUACUUUUGAAAUUGUUUAUGUAUUGUAAUUUAAAUAAGAUAAAAAAAUUAUAAUAAUAAUGAUAAUAAUAAUAAUUUAAUAUUAUUAAUUAUAAUUAUUUAAUAUUAUAUUUCUGAGCAAAUAUAAAUAAUUUAUUACUCGAUUGAUGUGUUUUAAGUAUUUUUCUGAAUUGAUGAAUAAUUUGAGUUACUGAUAAUAAUAUAAUUUUGAUAUGGUGUGAUUAUUUGUGAUUAUUAUAUAAAUAAUUGAGAUGUAAAUUUUGAGAUGAGUAAUUAAUAGAGGAAUUACGGUGUUGGUCUUAUAUUGACGAAAUUAUUAUUCAGAGAUAUAUCUUUUGAGUGUGAGUUUUUAGUAUGUUUUUCUAUUGUUUUAAGCUUUAUGAUUUUGUUGUCAUGUUCAUGCAUACAUUUAUAUUGGAGUUAGGUAGGACUUCGGUCCAUUAAGGUCAAGUUCAGAGAUAGAACCAAUAGUAUAGUCUCUGCUUUCAGAGACGGAACCAGAAGACAAGGAUACACCACGUAAUUACAUUCUUUGAUAUCUCAAAACCACUAGUUCCACACAUGCAUAUGUGGAGGAGGAGUAUGAGCUGCAUUAUGCAUUUGCAUUUAUAAUUAUUGUUAUUGUUUUAAUUGUAUGUUGGCAAAUGAUAUUAGAUAUUUUCGGUAACUAUCCUGCUGCUUAAUUUCACCAUUAACAUUUGUAAAGUUAUUCUCACCCCUUUUUCGUUGUUGUGUGGCUCAUGUUGCAGAUACAUGUAGCGAGCAGUAGCUAUUGAGUUGGGGAAUGGAGCUUGUAGCCUUCUUCUUUAUUUAUAUUUCAUUUAGUUUCGUAGUAUCGCUCUAAUCUGUAACAUUGAGACAAAAUUUGUGUUGAUUUCGGUUUUGUUUUUGUGACAUGUUUUUGUGGCACUAUUUCCCUUAUGUUUGAGUUUUAAACUACUUUAUUUUGAGAUACUCAAUUAAUUGUGUUUUGAAAGUUAU
RNAcentral lists this long non-coding RNA (1528 nucleotides) under Lathyrus oleraceus (garden pea). RNAcentral describes it as "Pisum sativum (pea) long non-coding RNA (PSAT_LNC021476)". The record is from RNAcentral. Lineage: Eukaryota; Viridiplantae; Streptophyta; Magnoliopsida; Fabales; Fabaceae.